RNAcentral lists this ribosomal RNA (253 nucleotides) under uncultured bacterium. RNAcentral describes it as "partial 16S ribosomal RNA". It matches the Rfam family "Bacterial small subunit ribosomal RNA", at positions 524 to 776 of the family's 1533-position model. The record is from RNAcentral.
UACGUAGGAGGCGAGCGUUGUCCGGAGUUACUGGGCGUAAAGGGUGCGCAGGCGGUGGCCCCGCGUGGGCGGUGAAAGCUCCUGGCUCAACUGGGAGAGGGCCGUCCAGACGGGGUCACUUGAGAGGCGGAGAGGAGCGUGGAAUUCCGGGUGGAGCGGUGAAAUGCGCAGAUAUCGGGAGGAACACCGGUGGCGAAGGCGGUCUCUGGGCCUGUACUGACGCUGAGGAGCGAAAGCGUGGGGAGCGAACAGG